CACUUGAUUGGACACAGUUUAG
This 22-nucleotide microRNA is filed under the name Tetranychus urticae (two-spotted spider mite). Its description in RNAcentral is "tur-miR-5733-5p". Lineage: Eukaryota; Metazoa; Arthropoda; Arachnida; Trombidiformes; Tetranychidae. The record is from miRBase by way of RNAcentral.